RNAcentral lists this ribosomal RNA (441 nucleotides) under [Candida] sp. CRUB 1295. RNAcentral describes it as "eukaryotic LSU rRNA". It matches the Rfam family "Eukaryotic large subunit ribosomal RNA", at positions 78 to 529 of the family's 3401-position model. The record is from RNAcentral. Lineage: Eukaryota; Fungi; Ascomycota; Saccharomycetes; Saccharomycetales.
GCUCAGUAUUCCGAGUUACGGCAAAGCUCAAUUUGAUUCCUUGCAUUUAUGUAAUUUGAAGAUGGCAUCAAAAAAAGGCUGAAAACUUAUGUCCCUUGGAACUGGACGUCACAGAGGGUGAGAAUCCCGGGGCGGCCCACUUUGGCCAUCAAAGAGUCGAGUGUUUGGGAAUGCAGCUCAAUGGUGGUAAAUUCCAUCUAAAGCUAAAUACUGGCGAGAGACCGAUAGCGAACAAGUACCGUGAGGGAAAGAUGAAAAGCACUUUGAAAAGAGAGUGAAACAGUACGUGAAAUUGUUGAAAGGGAAGGGCAUGAAGAUAGAUUGUGAGGGUCGUGGGGAGUGGAGAAAAAAUCACGUGGGAACGUGGCCUUCGGGUGUUAUAUCCCACACAUUUCUCCCACCCCCAGAGACCGCUUUUAGGACCCUCACGUAAUAUCUCCA